Molecule: non-coding RNA, 66 nt
Organism: Macaca mulatta (Rhesus monkey)
Lineage: Eukaryota; Metazoa; Chordata; Mammalia; Primates; Cercopithecidae
Source: Rfam
GGUAAAAUGGCUGAGUAAGUAUUAGGCUGUAAACCUAAAGAUGGGGGUUUAGUCCCCCUUUUACCA